This 1255-nucleotide small RNA is filed under the name Rattus norvegicus (Norway rat). RNAcentral describes it as "uncharacterized LOC102549537". The record is from RNAcentral. Lineage: Eukaryota; Metazoa; Chordata; Mammalia; Rodentia; Muridae.
UCUCAUACACAUCCAGGAGUACACUUGCCCUAUUGCUCACUUCUUCCAUCCUUUUUUUCAGACAUUCUUAAUCUCAUCAGUCUAUGAUGUUGGUAUUACAAAGACAAUGUAAGUUUGGGGAGAGAUGUAUAGACAUGGUGGGCUCAUGCUACUACAUGAGAACUGUGUGCUUGCUUCUCACUGCCUCUUCUAUUCCCAAAUUUGCAGCUGGGAGUCCUUGUAGCUCUCCUAAAUUCUUUCUUUUAUAAGUGUAAUGUCAUGGAUCACCUCCCAAAAGUAAGAUGAUAAGCAGCAUUAUUCUUUAUUCAUUCAUCAGAGCCAGUGGCUCAGCUCUUCUCUGAUCCUUGACCUGUAAGGAACCUCUUAUAUUUGCUUUUCCAUUUUUAUCUCUGAUAUUCAUCCAGUGUACCAUGUUCAGUUCUCAAGGGAGAGUUCCUGUGAGACCAAAAAUGCAAAAAAAAAAAAUGUGUUCCUUGUACCUUGAUGGCAGCUUCUUCUGGAAUGUAAGGCAGGAAGUCCCAAGAUAAUGGAUUCUAGUUUUCCUGCAAGUGCUGUGCACUUCCCUGUCCCUAGGAAAUACGAAGUACAACUAAGAGAAUGUGCUUUCCUCUUAAAAUAGGAAAUUUCUCUCUGUGUCUCUAUUGGUCAUCACUGUCUCUUACUCAGAGGAACAAACCUCAUUUUGGUUGUUCCCUGCGUGGUUUCCAGAAGAUUUCUAGGUAUACAUAAUCAGGUAGACAAAAUUUGGGCCUGAAAACUCUACUUAGCAUAUUUGUGAUUGGAGUCCUGACUUGAGUAGAUUAGGGUAUGAGGGAUGAUGGAUAGAGACCUGAUCUCAAUCCUCUCAGUAAGGAUGACAAAUUUCACUAUAGCCUGACUCCUCGUUUACUGAGACACUGGUUUGACCUGCACUGACAUUUUGAACUUUGUCUUCCUUCUUCUCCAGGAUACCGGAUCCUUUAUGAGUUCUGUUUCAGUUACAGUGUUAUUGCUGUUAAGAGACACCAUGACCAAUUUAUUAUAUAAUGGGAGAAAUUUCAUCUCUGGUCCAAUCUAUCUGGAGUUCUGUUUUUGGGCAUCUCUUUCUUUAUGUUAGAUCCUCGACCUUUUUACUGUGCCUCCUGAUUUACUUCACUAAGGUCCAGGAUACAGUUUGUAUUACAAAAUUGUGCUGAUGCGGGAUUCAAUGAGAGUGUCACUAUGAAAUAUGUGAAAAGAAGUAGGAUCCUGUGUGUGCCGCGUCGUUCCUGCUGGC